RNAcentral lists this ribosomal RNA (224 nucleotides) under uncultured bacterium. RNAcentral's name for it is "partial 16S ribosomal RNA". It matches the Rfam family "Bacterial small subunit ribosomal RNA", at positions 263 to 504 of the family's 1533-position model. The record is from RNAcentral.
GCCCACCAAAGCGACGAUCAGUAGCCGGCCUGAGAGGGUGGACGGCCACAUUGGGACUGAGACACGGCCCAGACUCCUACGGGAGGCAGCAGUGGGGAAUAUUGCGCAAUGGGGGAAACCCUGAUGCAGCGACGCCGCGUGAGCGAAGAAGUAUUUCGGUAUGUAAACUUCUAUCAGCAGGGAAGAAGAUGACGGUACCUGACUAAGAAGCACCGGCUAAAUAC